AUUGAACGCUGGCGGCAGGCUUAACACAUGCAAGUCGAGCGGAGAUGAGGUGCUUGCACCUUAUCUUAGCGGCGGACGGGUGAGUAAUGCUUAGGAAUCUGCCUAUUAGUGGGGGACAACAUUCCGAAAGGAAUGCUAAUACCGCAUACGCCCUACGGGGGAAAGCAGGGGAUCUUCGGACCUUGCGCUAAUAGACGAGCCUAAGUCGGAUUAGCUAGUUGGUGGGUAAAGGCCUACCAAGGCGACGAUCUGUAGCGGGUCUGAGAGGAUGAUCCGCCACACUGGGACUGAGACACGGCCCAGACUCCUACGGGAGGCAGCAGUGGGGAAUAUUGGACAAUGGGCGGAAGCCUGAUCCAGCCAUGCCGCGUGUGUGAAGAAGGCCUUUUGGUUGUAAAGCACUUUAAGCGAGGAGGAGGCUACUUAGAUUAAUACUCUAGGAUAGCGGACGUUACUCGCAGAAUAAGCACCGGCUAACUCUGUGCCAGCAGCCGCGGUAA
This 500-nucleotide ribosomal RNA is filed under the name uncultured bacterium. Its description in RNAcentral is "partial 16S ribosomal RNA". It matches the Rfam family "Bacterial small subunit ribosomal RNA", at positions 30 to 523 of the family's 1533-position model. The record is from RNAcentral.